Non-coding RNA from Callithrix jacchus (white-tufted-ear marmoset), 448 nucleotides. The record is from RefSeq and is a predicted model, not a curated record. Lineage: Eukaryota; Metazoa; Chordata; Mammalia; Primates; Cebidae.
CAGGGGACUCCAGCUGGGACAGAUGCUCCUUCAGCCAGGCCAGCUCUUGUUCCAACACCUCCACCUUAGGGACAUCUGCAGAAAGGCUGGACAGUGGCAAAAAAAGGGCAGCAAGAGCACGUAGAGGAGGAUGAGAAUGAGAGUGGUCCUCUCUCACCUUCUCACGGGACAGACCAAUCGCUCCCUCACCCAGCCCAGAGGCCAGAACACGAGGAAGAGUAUUCAGUGACUGAGGCGCCCCUCUGUCCCAGCUGGGGAAGGAAGAGAGGACAGACUCUCUUCCAGGCUUUGAGAAAGUCAAAGCUAAAGAAGAUCUGAGGUUAGCCGGGCGCAGUGGCUCACACCUGUAAUCCCAGGCUGAGGUGGGCAGAUCAUGAGGUCAGGAGUUCGAGACCAGCCUGGCCAACAUAGUGAAACACCAUCUCUAAUAAACAUAUUAAAAAAAUUA